GAUGAACGCUGGCGGCGUGCCUAAUACAUGCAAGUCGAGCGAACAGACGAGGAGCUUGCUCCUCUGACGUUAGCGGCGGACGGGUGAGUAACACGUGGAUAACCUACCUAUAAGACUGGGAUAACUUCGGGAAACCGGAGCUAAUACCGGAUAAUAUAUUGAACCGCAUGGUUCACUCGUGAAAGACGGUUGUGCUGUCCCUAAUAGAUGGCUCCGCGCCGCAUUAGCUAGUUGGUAAGGUGACGGCUUACCAAGGCAGCGAUGCUUAGCCGACCUGAGAGGGGGAGCGGCCACACUGGAUGUGAGACUCGGUCCAGACUCCUACGGGGGGCAGCAGUAGGGAAUCUUCCGCAAUGGGCGAAAGCCUGACGGUGCAACGCCGCGUGAGUGAUGAAGGUCUUCGGAUCGUAAAACGCUGUUAUUAGUGAAGAACAAAUGUGUAAGUAACUAGGCACGUCUUGACGGUACCUGAUCAGAAAGCCACGGCUAACUACGUG
Molecule: ribosomal RNA, 497 nt
Filed under: uncultured bacterium
Lineage: Bacteria
Description: partial 16S ribosomal RNA
Rfam family: Bacterial small subunit ribosomal RNA
Source: RNAcentral